GACGAACGCUGACGGUGUGCUUUAGACAUGCAAGUCGAACGAGAAAGCCCUUCGGGGUUAGUAAAGUGGCGAACGGGUGAGUAACACGUGGGCAAUCUGCCCCUCGCAGGGGGACAACCGGAGGAAACCCCGGCUAAUACCCCGUAAGUUCAAAGGGAGGCAUCUCCCCUUGAAGAAAGGUAGCUUCGGCCAUCCGGCGAGGGAUGAGCCCGCGGUGCAUUAGCUAGUUGGUGGGGUAACGGCCCACCAAGGCGACGAUGCAUAGCUGGUCUGAGAGGAUGAUCAGCCACACUGGGACUGAGACACGGCCCCAGACUCCUACGGGAGGCAGCAGUGGGGAAUCUUGCGCAAUGGGCGAAAGCCUGACGCAGCGACGCCGCGUGAGGGA
Molecule: ribosomal RNA, 388 nt
Filed under: uncultured bacterium
Lineage: Bacteria
Description: partial 16S ribosomal RNA
Rfam family: Bacterial small subunit ribosomal RNA
Source: RNAcentral